UGAAUUCAUUUAUAUUAUGCUUCAAUUCCU
RNAcentral lists this non-coding RNA (30 nucleotides) under Rattus norvegicus (Norway rat). The record is from RNAcentral. Lineage: Eukaryota; Metazoa; Chordata; Mammalia; Rodentia; Muridae.